GGGAAACAGACAGAGGGGCCCGCCCCAGGCCCCAAGACGUUUUAUGAGGUG
This is a non-coding RNA of Mesocricetus auratus (golden hamster), 51 nucleotides long. The record is from Rfam. NCBI's taxonomy places the organism in Eukaryota, Metazoa, Chordata, Mammalia, Rodentia, Cricetidae.